CAGAGUUUGAUCCUGGCUCAGAAUGAACGCUGGCGGCGUGCCUAACACAUGCAAGUCGAACGAGAAAUUCCGACUUCGGUUGGAAGAGUAAAGUGGCGCACGGGUGAGUAACGCGUGGGUAACCUGCCCUUGAAUCUGGGAUAACUUCGCGAAAGCGACGCUAAUACCGGAUAUCGUCACGGAGACCUCGGUUUUCGUGAUGAAAGGUGACCUCUUCAUGAAAGUUGCCGUUCAGGGAGGGGCUCGCGUACCAUUAGCUUGUUGGUGGGGUAAUGGCCUACCAAGGCGACGAUGGUUAGCUGGUCUGAGAGGAUGAUCAGCCACACUGGAACUGAAACACGGUCCAGACUCCUACGGGAGGCAGCAGUGAGGAAUUUUGCGCAAUGGGGGAAACCCUGACGCAGCAACGCCGCGUGAGUGAAGAAGGCUUUCGGGUCGUAAAGCUCUGUCAAGUGGGAAAAAAGUCUUACGGUGAACAGCCGUGAGGCCUGAUGGUACCACUAGAGGAAGCCCCGGCAAACUACGUGCCAGCAGCCGCGGUAAUACGUAGGGGGCGAGCGUUGUCCGGAAUUACUGGGCGUAAAGGGUGCGCAGGCUGUUUUGCGAGUCUGCUGUGAAAUACAUCGGCUCAACCGGUGAAUUGCGGCGGAUACUGCGAGACUGGAGUACUGGAGAGGGAAGUGGAAUUCCCGGUGUANCGGUGAAAUGCGUAGAUAUCGGGAGGAACACCGGUGGCGAAGGCGGCUUCCUGGCCAGUUACUGACGCUCAUGCACGAAAGUUGGGGUAGCAAACCGGAUUAGAUACCCGGGUAGUCCCAGCUGUAAACGAUGAAUGCUAGGUGUGGGUGUCGAGAGGCAUCCGUGCCGCAGCUAACGCGAUAAGCAUUCCGCCUGGGGAGUACGGUCGCAAGAUUGAAACUCAAAGGAAUUGACGGGGGCCCGCACAAGCGGUGGAGCACGUGGUUUAAUUCGAUGCAAACCGAAGAACCUUACCUGGGUUUGACAUGUACGUGGUACGGAUCUGAAAGGUGAAGGACUUACUCUUCGGAGUGAGAGCGUACACAGGUGCUGCAUGGCUGUCGUCAGCUCGUGUCGUGAGAUGUUGGGUUAAGUCCCGCAACGAGCGCAACCCCUGCAUUCAGUUGCCAUCGGUAAGGCCGGGCACUCUGGAUGGACUGCCGGCGACAAGCCGGAGGAAGGUGGGGACGACGUCAAGUCAUCAUGGCCCUUAUGUCCAGGGCGACACACGUGCUACAAUGGCCGGCACAACGGGAAGCGAAGGGGCGACCCUGAGCGGAUCCCCAUAAAAGCCGGUCCCAGUUCGGAUUGCAGUCUGCAACUCGACUGCAUGAAGUUGGAAUCGCUAGUAAUCGUGGAUCAGCCAAGCCGCGGUGAAUACGUUCCCGGGCCUUAUACACACCGCCCGUCACACCACCCGAGUUGGGGGCACCCGAAGCCGGUGGCUAAACCCGUAAGGAAUAGAGCCGUCGAAGGUGUGCCUGGUAAGGGGGGUGAAGUCGUAACAAGGUAACCGUA
RNAcentral lists this ribosomal RNA (1536 nucleotides) under bacterium enrichment culture clone E40_A. RNAcentral describes it as "bacterial SSU rRNA". It matches the Rfam family "Bacterial small subunit ribosomal RNA". The record is from RNAcentral.